UUACUUACCUGGAAGGUGGUUUUCCCAGGGCGAGGCUUAUCCAUUGCACUCCAGAUGUGCUGACCCCUGUGAUUUCGCCAAAUGUGGGAAACUUGACUGCAUAAUUUGUGGUAGUGGGAGACUGCGUUCGCGCUUUCCCCUG
Molecule: small nuclear RNA, 142 nt
Filed under: Aotus nancymaae (Ma's night monkey)
Lineage: Eukaryota; Metazoa; Chordata; Mammalia; Primates; Aotidae
Description: U1 spliceosomal RNA (ENSANAG00000020089.1)
Rfam family: U1 spliceosomal RNA
About the family: U1 is a small nuclear RNA (snRNA) component of the spliceosome (involved in pre-mRNA splicing). Its 5' end forms complementary base pairs with the 5' splice junction, thus defining the 5' donor site of an intron.
Source: Rfam by way of RNAcentral